RNAcentral lists this ribosomal RNA (484 nucleotides) under uncultured bacterium. RNAcentral describes it as "partial 16S ribosomal RNA". It matches the Rfam family "Bacterial small subunit ribosomal RNA", at positions 30 to 507 of the family's 1533-position model. The record is from RNAcentral.
AUUGAACGCUGGCGGCAGGCCUAACACAUGCAAGUCGAGCGGAUGAAGGGAGCUUGCUCCUGGAUUCAGCGGCGGACGGGUGAGUAAUGCCUAGGAAUCUGCCUGGUAGUGGGGGAUAACGUCCGGAAACGGGCGCUAAUACCGCAUACGUCCUGAGGGAGAAAGUGGGGGAUCUUCGGACCUCACGCUAUCAGGUGAGCCUAGGUCGGAUUAGCUAGUUGGUGGGGUAAAGGCCUACCAAGGCGACGAUCCGUAACUGGUCUGAGAGGAUGAUCAGUCACACUGGAACUGAGACACGGUCCAGACUCCUACGGGAGGCAGCAGUGGGGAAUAUUGGACAAUGGGCGAAAGCCUGAUCCAGCCAUGCCGCGUGUGUGAAGAAGGUCUUCGGAUUGUAAAGCACUUUAAGUUGGGAGGAAGGGCAGUAAGUUAAUACCUUACUGUUUUGACGUUACCAACAGAAUAAGCACCGGCUAACUUCGUG